GGGGGUGAACCGGAUUCGACCGGGCUAGUGAACUAUAAGUUGCGUGUCGUUGUUGGUCAGUGGGCAACGUUAAAAGCCGACCGCUAAUUCAAAUGCCGAACCUAAAUUGGCAUUGGCUGCUUAAGAACAAGCAACCCCGAGCCUGCGCUGCCGCCGAAGCGGUGUAAAGUUCGGACGUAAUUUCGGACCGCUUUCGCUCAAGCCGGAUACGGCGGAAGUUAAAUUUGUUUUCGGACCGUCCCUAAAAGACCGUCGCCGAUAAGGGCUGGCGGGGACUAAAAAAUAAAGAAUCGGAUACACACGUAGACACUUAUUCGGAUCUGUUUCGGGACGCGGGUUCAAUUCCCGCCGCCUCCAUUG
RNAcentral lists this transfer-messenger RNA (360 nucleotides) under Planctomycetaceae bacterium. It matches the Rfam family "transfer-messenger RNA". From Rfam's summary of the family: Bacterial tmRNA, also known as 10Sa RNA or SsrA, is named for its dual tRNA and mRNA-like properties. Its role is to liberate the mRNA from a stalled ribosome. Lineage: Bacteria; Pseudomonadati; Planctomycetota; Planctomycetia; Planctomycetales; Planctomycetaceae. The record is from RNAcentral.